Molecule: long non-coding RNA, 20691 nt
Filed under: Vitis vinifera (wine grape)
Lineage: Eukaryota; Viridiplantae; Streptophyta; Magnoliopsida; Vitales; Vitaceae
Description: long non-coding RNA (VVIN_LNC005729)
Source: RNAcentral
AACCAGGAUAAGAUCAUUAAUGAUUAUAAGCAAAAGAUUGAAGGUGAAUUAAGAAAGCUGAGUAAGUACAAGGAAAAGGCCGAGACUUGCGGACUGGGCUACUAUGAUUCCUUCAAGCUCCAAGAAAAAGAAGAUGGCUUCCAGGCUAAUGUGAGCAGGCUUGUGCUAGCUGGUUACUGGGACGAGAUGAUGGAAAUGUUAAAAGCGUAUAAACUUCCGGAUGAAUUUGAGAAGAGCCAUGACUGUAUACGACUUGGAACAGAUUAUCGCCGCACGGUUGAGCCUCUAGAUAUUGCCAACUUUUAUCGACACGCCAAGGAUGAAGAGACAGGGUUCUACGUGAAAAAGGGGACUCGACCAAAACGAUAUCGAUACAUCCAAAAUUGGCUCGAGCAUGCUGAAAAGAAGCCAUCUGGAUCCCGCUCAGAAUCCUGUUUCUGGGCUGAGGUAGAGGACCUCCGCAUUAAAACUAGAAGCAACGGAUCCUCUCCAGAAAUUAAGCAGAAGGUUCUGCAACUGGGGCAAAAUCUAAUUAAAUGGAUUGAUGAUGAAUCUUUAGGCAAGGAUGUGUUGCUGGAGAAUUCCACCUUUGUUAAAUGGUGGAAACCCCUUCCUCCUGAGUAUAAAUCAGAACCCAAAUCAUCUCGCAUUAUGAAACUCAUCCAUGAGAAAGAUUGAGAGGGUUUCAUGCUGUUAUCUCGAGGCAUUUGUUCAAAGCCAAUAAACCCUGUAAAUAAGCUCUAGCUUUGACUGCUCUCUUGAUAACCGAAAUGUUCUUGAUAAGUCCAUUAUUUACUAGUAAGAUGGUUUUCUUCCUGAGUGUAUGCAAAAUCCUGUUUCCUAUAUUAAUACAUAACGAUCCAUUCUCAAUCGUGUAGAUAAUAUCACUGUGAUACCCCGGGUCUUAGGUCCCACUAUGUGAAAAUCAAGAAUGAAAAUGACUAGAUACCAAGAGGUAAUGCGCAUGAUUUUUUCAUACAAACAAACAAGUAGGUUGUACUUCAACACAGAUGAAGUUUGCGAUUUGAAGUUACAACUAUCUAAUAAUAAAGAUGAUGAGAAGGCAUAUUUCUUAAGAAAAUGGCCAUGAUAGCAUUUAGCAGAGGAUACUAAUACAGAAGAUUGAAAAUGGGCUGGUAAAUUAACGGACAGAUGAACGCUUGAUGUGCAUCCUUGGCCGAUCGAUAUGUAUAUGAAAUUAAAUGCUGUGACAAAGACCUAGUUAGCUCCACAAUGAAAAAAGAAGCCCUUGCCAUAUGACUACAGAGGCCCUGUCACAGACUCACAGUUCAACUACAACCAGUUCCUUCCUAGCUUUCAGAACUUUCCAUAUUUAAAAAAUAUUAAUUUUAUAUUUUAUAGUUGGUAGUUAAAUUCAUAAAAAUAAUAAUUAUAUUUUUCUAUAUUUAAAAUAAUAAUCAAUAAUUAUUUAAUAUUAAUAAUAUUUAAAUUUAUAAAGUGUGGAAUCAAGAAGUUUCUAGGAUAAUACUAAUAAAUGUUGGAUCCGCAUUUUUCACAUGCAUUCCCACUCAACGACGAAACUCAUAUUUAUUUAAGGUGAAAAACUGUAUUUUAUAAGAAACUGGAAUCGCUACUUAUUAUUAUUUUUUAAAAGGGAAAAUAAGGAAAGAUAGGUUUGUAAAAACUGAGUUAGAUUCGGAGGUCAAGUUACCUAUUGGGAAGAUACAGUGGCUAAUCGUAGCACCUUUCUAAGCAUUACAAGUCAGGUCUCUAUUAAUAAAACUAAGACAACUAUGACAAUUGGUUGAUCAAUUUAUGGAUACCUAGCAAGAGUCAAAAUAUACUACGACCAAAGCAUGUAUCAAAAGAUAAUCGAAUGAGUAAAGAAGGAAAGGAGUGUACCUGAGUAAUAAGUCAAAGUGUGCUUCUAUGGAAAACAAGGUUAAUAAAUAAUAUAAGUAUAAAAUAUCUCAUGUCAAUCACAAACAAAAUCAAUCAAUAUUAAUCAAGCAAAGCAAUUAGAGGAAGGAGUGUCAUGGAUGUUGGGCCCAUCAAGGCCCAAUUUAUUUUUACAUGAAUUAAUUCUAUAAAUUCCAUUAUUUUUGGAAUCAUAAAAUUUAUUUAUGCAUUAAAAAUAGAGAAAAUCAAGAAAAACUACAUAAAAAAAAAUGUGAAAUGUGCUUGCCGGGGGGAAAUAUGACAGCAAUGUUUAUAAAAAUCGGGAUUUUAGUGCCUAAAAUAGUCUAAAGAUGAACAUUUAAAAUUGGGUUUAUUUCAGUCGAAAAUAGUUUUGAAAAUUCAAUUUAAAAACCUGUAAAUUCUCACCAAGAUAGGAAAAACACACCAAGAGGAAGGAAGGAUGACUUAAGAAUGGUGCACCAAAGGUGGCAAUGGUGGAGUGGGGCUCGUGGGUAGGCAGGCAUGUGCAUUUCCAUAUCAGAAUCCCUGUGCUGCUGCUCAUUCUCCAGGAGUCUGUAAGUCGCUUCACCCCUAUUCCCAUGCAGCAGAAGAGUGCUUCAAUUGUCUGGUUUUGCAGCUCUCACCCUUGUGUUUACUCCAAUUCAAGAUUAUCCCCCUGCAUCCCAAUCUCUCUCUAUGCUGACUCAAGCCGAGCUUGCAGAAUCCCAGUCGCAGAAUCAUUCCUUUUGAGCUCACAAAAUUAACCUGGUAAUCUCUUCUUCCCAGAACUCUAGUUUUUUAUUGUACUCAGUGGUCUUCCUAAGCAAUUCCUCAUAGCUAGCAUCAGUUCCCACCUUUGGGAUGCAAUCUGCGCUCCAUUAGAGCCCCAUCUUCUCCCAUAGAACUCGCCCAGGUUACCAAAUUCAUUCCUGCCAUAGCUGAGUCCUCCAUUAGGCAGCAACAAAUACAACACUUUAAAUGGAUUAGUUUCCAGAUCAAAUUGGAGGACAUACAGAAUGCUGUCAUCUAUGGGCAGCUUUUCGAGUUCAAGAGAAUUUUAAUGGCCACGUGAUAAGGGAUCUUAGUGACAGUCAACAUUCAGCUAAGCAGAAAUCUGGAGAGGCUAUAGUAGUGAUCAGCAUUGUCGCCCAUCCGUACAUUCACCUUGACAAAAUUGUAUUUGGAGGAAACAUUCUGAAUGGAGAAUCAAAUGGUUGGGAGAGAGGAAUCAGAGAUGUCUUCUUCUGGGGUGUCAGGGUUUGGACAAGUUGUGUGAAGACUGCCAGGUACUGAGGAUACCAAGGCUGGGAACAAGAACUGGUCACAUGUACACGGAGAUGGCCAUGCAUGUGGAUUGCAUGCACAUGGGAAAGAUGGUGCAAUAGACUUCGCUAAAUUCAAGCUUCUUGGAUAGCUUGCAACUUCAUCCAGAUAAAAGAUGCUUUCUGCUUCACAUAGAUGUAACAAAAUUGAUGGGGAGAAGAGAGUUGACCACUUCAUCUCCAUUAACGUCACUCUCAAUAUCAGGAGGAAUUUCUUCUCUUGUUAACGAGGAAUCUGAUCUCUUCAAAGACUGUGGUGGCUCUGUUGAAGCCAUUCUUAAAUUGUACAAUGCUCAGACUCCUUCAAGUUGGUCACGGCCUCCAAUACUAGAUUCCCCAGCCUUACGAUGUACCCUCUUUGAACCAGUAAUCUGCUCAGGGUUGCCAGGGAAGGCAAGGGCCUUAGCAUCGACAGUUUGAUCAUCACUUUGAACUAUUGCGCUGAGAGGCGGAGAAUUCUCCUGGUUUAGGGCUUGUUGGCACCCUUCUGUGGGCCAAUCUAGACUCCUCUCUUGAGCCCCAUCCAUUUUCCAUCACAUUCAUGUUCCUUCAUUGCCCAUCAACAAUAAAUCUGUACUGAUAAAUACCCGAGGGGAGCAUUUUCAUAAUGGUGGACUAUUUCCUCAUCUCUGCAAGGGUUUUCUUAUCUUCCAAUUAUCCCAUAAUUCCUCCGCAGCUACUUCCUUGCUAUCAUAGCUCCAUGUAAUCAUAGUUGGAAUUCCUUGCUCACUGCACACCACCUGACCUUGGCCACUCAUUUCCAAGUCUCAAAACUCUGCCUUUCUCACCCUCUUUUACUACCUUUGAGGCUUUGCUGCAAAAGAUCAAAACUGUAGGCUACCUCAUGCAAUGGCACACACCACCCUUUCUCAGAUUCCCUUAUUAGCUUGUGGAGAAAUUUAUUAAAUUUCACAUCAAAGGCAAGAAAAUUGGAAGGGGACAAUGAACCGCAGAUGGAUGAGAGAAUAAUGGCCUUGUCGUUGCAUGUUCAUGAGCAGCAUGAACUGUAUCCUUCAUUUCAGGAACUGAGGCCCUAUGACCUCCAGACCUGAAGGCUCAAUGAAUAGUCAAAGAUUUGACUUCCUGUAGGCUUGCCACAUCCUGAACAGACCUGAAUUUUCUCUUCUUCCGGGCCUUUUCUCAGAAGGUGGUUCCUUAGCUGUCUUGUAUGUCAGAGGCAAAUUGAUGCCUUGGAUUAAAAGAGUCUGAUGACAGAGUACUAAGAUGCUCCUGAUUGAAACGGAACACUUUCAUAGCAGCAUAUUCAAACUACCACAGAAUUGAGCAUCAGGAUGAAUUAAGCCACUUUACUUCAUCAACUUUUUGCACUUUCCAACAGUGCAGGACCAUUUUCCUUGCCAUUGCUGAAAGACUGUUGAUGAGCGCAAUGAUCAUUGAAUUACUGGUGGAUUUUCAUUGUGGGAAACCUAAGCUGAUUAAGCAACAAACCCAAACUUUGACUAGCUUGAAUUGAUAGAUCUCCAACAUUGGAUACAGGAUGACCUCUUAGGAGCUAAAGAUAUAUUAAAUUCCACAAGCUUUCCUUCAGAGGGCUGAUCAAGAGGUGUAUCUAAACCUUAUUUGGCAUGACCAACAAGCUGUCACUUUCACACGCAUAUUCUAAGCAUCUUCCCAGAGGCUUAACAGAAAAGGGAUCUUCAGGUUUACAGAGGAGGGAAAGGAAACCCUGCUUUGCAUUCGGAAAAGUUUUGUUGCUGUUGACAUCUUCACCAUUCUGAGUACUUGGGACUGUUGGUGCAGGUGUGGAGCAACCAGAAAAGUUGUUACUCAGACCCAAUAUUCUCAAUAGCACUGCUUAAAUUUGCCAGGCUCGAGAACAAAAAUGAGAGGUAGCUAGUUCUUUUGAUGCUUCCCUGCUAAAUUUGCCAGGCUCGAGAAUAAAAAUGAGAGGUAGCUAGUUCUUUUGAUGCUUCCCUGCUUGAAUUUGGAGUAUUUGAACCGGCAACAACUCUAUCAAUCCCAAGGGUAGAGAUCAGCUUCUCAAUUAUAGUGACUUGUGACUCCCAGAUCAGUGGAGAUCCAUCUUCAUGACCAGAGAUUGACCAUGACUCCACCUCAUGAAUGAUGAAUUCCUAGAGCCUCAUCUGUUUGAUGAAGGUGAAGUUUGAUUAGUAGGAGUUUUGAGUACUAUUUGAUAGUCUCUCUUCAUGCUGUGGGGGGUUCACUACAGGUUGAUGAUCAUCAUGAGAUGAGCUCGACAUGCUCACUCCUUAUUGGAUUUAUACUCCGAUACUGAUGUAGCCUUCAAACUCCACAAAUAAGCUAUACUUGAACCGAAGACUAAGGAUGACUAAACCAUCACCUCCAUCCUAACUAUGCUGGCGUUCAAAUACUACAAAAUGAUAUUUCAAUGGUCCUGCUUUCAAACCGCAAUUCCACACCUGAAGACGUUUCUCACCGAACCAAAGGCAACGGUGGUAUUGGCAUUAUUGGACAUACAAAUGCUCUGCAUGGACCCCAAACCACCAUGGUACUUCAAUGUCAAGGCCCAUGGCCAUUUCUGUUGUCCAUGAAAAUAAUCUUGAAGGGCUAUACAACUUUUAGCAACUCUUUAAAGGAUGCAAUGUGUCUGGAAGAUUGAAUUGAAGAUGAAUGACAUUUGUAGAAUCAACAGAUGAGGUUGCAUUUCUAGAGCCUCUUUCUGGAGGCCUUUCUCCAAGAAUUUUUCCAUGGCUCUCUGUUGUCAUCUUCUGCACAAUAGGAGAUGAUUUCACAUCCUACAGCCACUUGCUCCUGUUAUUAUGCUUCUGUCACCCCUCUCACAGUUUUCUUGCAAGAUACAAAUAACUCUCUCCACUGGGGUCACGAAUCUGUGGCAAUGAGCCAAAACACAGCCCUCUCUUCUCAAGCGUAGAUCAGAACACAAAACCAAUUGUCCAUAGCAAAUCGAAAUAUGUGAGCCAGAAACAGGAUAUGGAUUGAGAUACUGGAAAUAGAGAAGUGAACAAAACAAGAUACAACAUACCCAGAACAAAAUAAACAAGUAAGCAAAACAUUAAAUGGGAUCCCUUUUCAUGUUGAAAUCAAUGGGUUCAUAGAGCAGUGGUGCAGUAGGAAAGUUCAACACAAAUAUCAAAAUGAGGUCAUCAACAAACUCCUACUGUAAGAGUGAGCCAUAUUCAGAUUAAAAAAUACGAAAGAAGAGCGGUACAACAUCACAUCCAUACCAAAAAUAAUAGAUUUUCUCUAAUUAUCUAAUUAGACAGCUCACGCCAACACUCCCCCUCAAGUUGGAGCCUAGAUAUCUCUUAUGCCCAACUUGUCAAGUGAGUUGUAGUAGUUCCUUGCAGACACUGCUUUUGUGAGUAUAUCAGCCAACUGGUCUUUUGAUUUAACAAAUGGAAGCUGAAUAAUCUUUUCUUCAAGGUUCUGUUUGAUGAAGUUUCGAUCCACCUCAACGUGCUUAGUGCGAUCAUGUUGGAUUGGAUUGUGGGAGAUAGCAAUGGCUGCCUUGUUAUCACAGAACAGGUUCAUUUCAUAGCUGAGAGCAACACCGAUCUCAACUAGCAGCUUUUUAAGCCAAAGAAGCUCACAUAUUCCUUUGACCAUUCCCCGAAAUUCAACUUCAGCACUAGACAAUGUAAUUACCUUUUGUUUCUUGCUCCUCCAUGUAACCAGGUUGCCUCCCACAAAAGUAAAGUACCCUGAAGUAAAUUUCCUAUCUGUGAUGUUCCCUACCUAGUGAGCAUCUGUGUAGCCAACAACAUUCAAAUGACCAUUCUUUGAGAACAUAAGUCCUUUCCCAAGAGAGGACUUCAAAUAACGAAGGAUCCGCAUUACGGAAUCCAUAUGGUCUUCACUCGGGCAAUGCAUGAACUGACUCACUACACUCACAGCAUAACCAAUAUCUAGUCGAGUAUGAGAUAAAUAGAUGAGUUUACCCACUAACCAUUGAUACCUCUAUUUGUCCGCUGGCACCUGGUCUACAUAUUCUCCAAGUUUAUGAUUCUGGACAAUUAGAAUAUCAACAGGCUUGCACCCUAGUAAUCCUACAUCUGCCAGCAAGUCUAGUAUAUAUUUCCUUUAGGAAAGAAAUAUGUCUUGUCUUGACCUUGCUACUUCAAUGCCUAAAAAAUACUUAAGCCCUCAUAAGUUUUUCAUUUCAAACUCAGUUGACAAUUGCUCUUGAAGCUUAGAGAUUUCUUCUACGUCAUCCCCUGUGAUGAUCAUGUCGUCUACAUAGACUAUGAGGGCUGUUAUUUUUCCCACUUGAUGUUUUAGGAAGAGUGUAUGAUCAGAAUUGCUUUGUUGAAAACCAUAUUUCCUCAUUGUCGAACUAAACCUGCCAAACCAUGCUCGAGGUGAUUGCUUUAGUCCAUACAAUGCCCGUUGUAAACUACAUGCGAUCUUUGCCUCUGAGGUAGCAGUAUAACCUGGUGGAAGAUCCAUGUAAAUUUCCUUUUCAAGAUCACCAUGGAGGAAGGCAUUUUUCACGUCCAGUUGGUGCAAUGGCCAAUCUAAGUUUGCUGCAAGAGAUAAUAGAACUCUAACAGUUUUUAGUUUGGCUACAGGUGAGAAAGUUUCCUGAUAAUCUAUACCAUAUUUCUGUGUACAACCCUUUGCUACCAACCUUGCCUUGUAUUGAUCAAUAGACCCAUCUGCUUUGUAUUUAAUAGAGAAAAUCCACUUGCACCCCACCGUCUUCCUUCUUUCAGGCAAUACACUCAAAACCCAUGUGUUAUUUUUCUGCAACACCUCCAAUUCCUCUUUUAUAGCUUGAGCCCAUUUCGAAUCUGAUAAAACUUCUUCAACACUACUCGGAAUUUGACAUGAGGAGAGUGUAUGUGCAAAUGCCCUAAGAGGUUCAGAUAAUCUUUGAGUGGACACAUAAUUGGCUAUUGGAUACUUGGAUCGUCGUUCUUCUAUGUCUGGGGAGUAUCAAUUUGGUGGCUUGCCUCGAUUGUGUCUGAAAGGUAGAACGUAACCCGUAGAUGUAUCUAUAGCAUUAGUUUGUAAAGGUGUGAUAGAAAAGCUUACCUCAGGGAUAUUCUCAGAAGGAUGGUCGUUGGGUACUAAAGAGUGAAGGGAUUCAUCAGAUUCUGCAUCUUCCGAUGAUUCAGGUACAAGUUCAACUUCAAUUCUUGGAGGUUCAACCAUGUCGUUGCCAUCAUUCGGAUGUGCUAGAUUGUCACCAACGUCCAGCAUUUCAACAUCCAACCAAUUUCUUUCUUCACCAUGGAUCUCUCCCUGAAGAGGAGAAUUGGAUACCAGUGAUGGGAAUUUUUUUUCAGAUUCUAGGAAGGUGACAUCCAUGGUGAUGUAGGUUCUUUUAGCAAUGGGAUCGUAGCAUUUUUUGUACUCCAUACCCCAAAAAUAGACACCAGACAGCACAUGGAUCCAACUUAGUUCAUUGAUUCUUAUGGAUGUGAACAAAAACAACACAACCAAAAAUUCGAGGAGGAAUCAUCAAAACAUUAGGUAAUGAGACAUGAUCGGAAAGCACCUUAACCAGAGUCUGAAAUUGUAAGACUUUGGUUGGCAUACGGUUCAGUAGAUGCACGGCUGUGGCAACAGCAUCACUCCAGUAUCUAUUCGGCACAUGUGCAUUGAUCAAUAGAGCACGGGUAGUUUCUAAGAUAUGUCUAUUCUUCCUUUCAGCAGUACCAUUCUGUUUGGGGUUUGAGAACAUGAGGUUCAUGGAGAAUACCAUGACUGUUGAAGUGUGUCUAGAAUUGUUGGUUAACAUACUCCCCUCCAUUGUUAGAACGAAGGAUCUUAAUUUUUGCAGAAAAUUGUGUUUGAACCAUGGUAUGAAAUGAUUGGAAAACAACAAAUACUUCAUCUUUGUGUUUUAGGAGGUAAAUUCAUAUCAUUCUUGUACAGUCAUCAACAAAAAUUGCAAACCAACGGUGACCAGAAGACGUAGUAACUGGGGAAGGUCCCCAUACAUCAGAAUGGAUUAAAUCAAAAGGAAUCAUACUUUUAUUCAUACUCAAGGGAUAAGAAGCUCUAUGACUUUUGGCUAAGAUACAAGUAUCGCAUUUAAAAUUUAAGUGUGAUACUUUGGAAAAUAAACCAGGUAGUAAGUGCUUCAAAUACCCAAAAGAUGGAUGCCCAAGUCGAUGGUGCCAUAACCAAAUAUGUCUUUUCUUGUUACUAACUGUGUGGUGCAUGUGAUUUGCUCUUCCCGAACUGAAGUCAUCAACGUAGUAUAAUCCCCCCCUCUUAGUACCACGCCCAAUUAUCUCCUUGGUAAGAAUAUCCUGAAGAAGGUAAAAAGUAUAAUACAUUACUACCACACAAUUAAGAUCCGUAGUAACUUGACUCACAGACAUCAGUCUAUUUGAAAGAGAAGGUACAAGUAAUGUAUUAGAUAAUGAAAGGGAAGGAGAUAACGUCACUGUUCCCACCCCUGUAAUCGGAUAAGCGACCCCAUUGGCAUUUUUAACACAACUCCGUCUCGAUUGAGUUGCAUUAGAAAAAUCAUUUGAAUAAAAUGUCAUGUGGUAUGUAGCACCAGAGUUGAGAAUCCAGUCAUCAUCAUUAUUGUGAGUAGAGAUAUGAAGUGUCUUACCAGAAGUACCAGAAGUACUUGGAUCAUGUGAAGAUUCUACUUGAGGGAUGAGGGAUAAUGAAGGAUCACAAGUAACCACGACAGCUCUCCCAGUGUGGUCAUCAUUAGCAAAGGUUUCACGUUUUUUUCGUGCUUGAAAGUCGUUCCACCAAUCUGGAUACCCAUGUAGUUUGAAGCAGGUGUCACGGGUAUGUUUGGAGUUGCCACAAUGUGUACACUUCAUGCCAUCAGAUGGUGGUUUGGUUUUGGAUUUUCCCCUGCUUAGAGAAAGAGCCCCUGGUUUCGGUGUUGUCUGGUAGUGACUUCCCUUGAUCCCUUUGGAUAUCAUAACUCCUCCAGGAGUGGUAUCUGUACCUGAGAUCAUCACAAUCUGCCUGACAUCUUCCUUACGAACAAAAGCGUAGGCCUGUUCCACUGUAGGGAAUGGUUUUAAUUGGAGCACAUCACUCCGAGUUUUAUCUAGUCUGUCAUCUAGUCCAUCAAGGAAAGUAUAAACCCGAUCUUCUUGUAGAAUCGAGUUGUAUUUCUGUAUGUCAAUAGCACACUCCAUCGGGUUAGGACGACGAAAAUCGAUUUCUUGCCACAACCCUUGAAGAUCGUUGUAGUAUUUUUCAAUGGAUCCACCCCCCUGCUUCAUACGAGUAACACGACGCCGGAGAUCAUAGACUUGAGAUGAUACUGUCCCAUCAAAAUAGGUUGUAGCAGCAGAAUCCCAAACCUGUUUUGUAGUUGGGAAGCGGAUAAAGUUGGCAAUCAAGGAAGGGUCCAUUGAAUUGAUCAACCAUCCCUUGACAAUGGCAUUUUCGGUUCGCCAUAUCCUGAGUGAAGGAUCGGUUUUUGGAGGUUGAGGGGAAUCUCCAUUAAUAUAUCCUAACUUGUCCUUGCCAGAGAUAUACAUCUCGACAACCUGGGACCAUAAGGCAUAGUUGGAUCCUUCCAACUUGAUACCGAUCGGAGCAGUUGAGGAAUCGGCAAGCAGAGGUUGAGGGGAAGUUUGGGCUCGAGUCAAGACUUCCGUCAUUUUUGUCGUCAGAUCGUUAAGGAUGGAGUUGGUAUGGGGAAUGAGAGAUUGUGUUAGGUCUCCGGAUUCCACCAUGGAUUCUAUUGGGUCUGGGUUCUUUCCUGGUCAAGCGACGCCGUAAAAUGACCACGUCGGCAAUGGCGCAAGCCUGUCAGUUGGAAAAUCCGUCGGGGUCGUCUCCGACGAACUCUGGAGAGGAUCUGGGGUCGACUUCGACUUCGUCUCCCAAGUCUGUGGAGACUACGACGAAGGUGCAGUUUGCUGGAAGGUUUUUUUCUUCUUUUUUUAUUUGAGUUGAAUACCAUCAUAUAUAGAUACAGAGCAAAGGAAUUUUAGGAACCUAUUCUAGCCUAUACACAGGUUGUGGUAGAAAUUGUAGAUCACGUUUGAAGUAUGGAAUUUACAUUAAUAGAUUUUCUCUAAUUAUCUAAUUAGACAGCUCACUCCAACAAAAACAAUUUAACAAUGCCUAGAAAAUUAGAAAUAACCAGAGAGAAUGAAAAAAAAAACAGAGUGAUAAGUGAAAAUGAGCAAAGAAGCUACAAAAAACGUACCUGAAAAUGCUCCCUCCAACGAGAAUAGUUGGGCUUCAAGCUGCUUUGUUUCUUCUUUCAAACCUCCAGAAAACCACAACAAAAUCAACUUCCCUUUCUCUCCCUUGCUCCUAAUCACCCUGCCUAGAAUCCUCUCUGCUCCCUGUUUUCUCUCUAACCCCCAAUUCCGAAGAAUCCCACCAUCACUCCAACCAACCUCUUAGCAAUUCCCCCUGUUUCCACUCUUUCCAUUUCUGUUUUUCCCCUGUCUCCACUCUCCCCCGACCCACACUCUCAGAUACUUUCCUGCUCAAGACUCCUACUUCUCUCUAAAAAAACGACCCGCCCAAAACUUUGCCACAUGUCGCUCUCACUGGCUCCCUUUUCUCUCUUAGUAAGUAACUCACCAAAAAGACAAAAAUUCACGCUCCACCAUUUUGCAGAUCCUCCUUGCCCACCUAGUUUGCCACGACUCCAAAAUAGAGCUUAAGUCCAAAAUAAUCUGUUGGUAGAAAAAAAUGGUAAGAAUAGUAGUCAUCUCAAAAUAUUUGUCAAAGUAGUAUUUUCUAUCCACGUAAUCAUUCAUGCGAGUUUUUUUAGUGUAAAAAACCACCGUUACUAACUGUGAUUUUAAAAGUUUCAGAAAUAUCUUUAAAACCACAGUCACAGAAUGUGGUUUUACAAUUUUCCUCGUUAGUAACUGUGGUUUCAUAAUAUUUUUAAACCGCCCCUGUUUCAAUGGUAUUAUGAUUUUAAUAUUAUUUUUUAAAAUAUUUUUUAUCAUAAUAACCAUAAAACCACAGUUAGUAACUGCAAUUUUAAAAAUAUUCUGAAAACCAUGAUCAGACCAUGGUUUUACAAUUUUCUUUAGAACCACAGUUACUAAUUGUGGUUUCACAAAUAUCUUUAAUGAGAACUCGUGUAACCAUACAUCAACUAAAAAAAUAUAUGGGAUUUUAGAACUUUGCUUUUUUCUUUUUAGUUUUAGUGUAAAAUGGGAAAAAAAUAUUGUUUAUUCAUGCAUUUCGAUAGUACUUUCAAAUCAUUUCACAAUUACCCUCAUAAGUGAUAUAAGAUUAUAAAACUUUGUUUUUUUAUUUUUAAUUUUAGUGUAAAUAGGAAAAAAUAUUGCUUAUUCAUGCAUUCCAAUACUGCUUUUAAAUUGAUUGUGAAUCUAUUUUUUUUUUUGGUUAAAAUCUUUAAUUUUUAAUUAAAAUAAAAUAUAUUUUUCAUUAAAAAAAAUGUAAUUAACCUUUUAUAUUAAUUUCAUAAAAAAUAGGUACACCCUUAAAAAAAAUAGGUAUAUUCAUGCUUAGGGGAACCGGAACCACUAUCAUACUUAUCAUGGUGUAUAUUCCUUUGGGACCCUCGAUAAGUAAUCAGAGGUCCUUGCCCACCCCAAAACAAACUUUGGAAUCCUAGGUAUAUCAUUUCUUAGAGGAACCAAGACCCCUAUUUCCAUUAUCAUGGUUCAUAUAUUCCUUUGGGGACCUUUGAGAAUGAAUUGGAGGUUGUUCCCCACCUUAGAAUGGACAUUGGAACCCAAGGAACAUCCUAAAGAUAAUUUGGUACAUCAUUUACAAAAAUUGGUACAUCUUUCACAAAAUUUGACACAUCCUUAAAACAAUGUGGUACAUCCAAUCCACGAGCCACCAAGACCUCUAUAUUAUUACCCAUGGUUCGUUUAUUUCUUUAGGGAUCUUUAGGAAGUAAUCAAAGGUCAUUCCCUACUCUGAAACUAACUUUGGAACCCUAGGUACAUCCUUAAGGAAAUUUGGUACAUCAUUAAGAAAAUUUGAUAUAUCUAAUCCUUGAACUAACGAGACACAUAUCUUUCUUCCCAUUGUCUAUUUAUUCUUUUAGACAACCUUAGGAAGUGAUUAGAGGUCGUUCCCCAAUUUGGAACAAACUUUGGCCCCCUUGGUACAUCCUUUACAAAAUUUGGUAAAUAUUUUAUAAAAUUUGGUACAUUCUUCACAAAAUUUGGUACAUCCUUAAAAAAAAUUGGUACAUCUAAUCCUUGAACUACUAGGACCCCUAUCUUAUUACCUAUGGUCUGUUUAUUUCUUUAAAUAUCUUUGGAAAGUAAUUGAAGGUCGUUCACUACUCCGAAAUGGACUUUGGAACCAUAGGUACAUCCUUGAGAAAAUUUGAUACAUCCAUUACUUGAACUAACAAGACACCUAUCUCUCUUUCCAUGGUUCAUUUCUUCCUUUAGAGACUCUCGGAAAGUGAUUAGAGGUCGUUCCCCACCUCGGAACUGACUUUGGCAACCUUGGUACAUCCUUUAUAAAAUUUGAUACAUCUUUUACAAAAUUUGAUACGUCCUUCACAAAAUUUGGUACAUCCUUCAAAUAAUUUGGUACAUCCAAUCCUUAAGUUACUAGGACCCCUAUCUUAUUACCCAUUGUCCAUUUAUUCCUUUAGGGAUCUUUGGAAAAUGAUUGAAGGUCGUUCCCUACUCCGAAAUGAACUUUGGAACCCUAGGUACAUCCUUGAAAAAAUUUGAUACAUCCAAUCCUUGAGCUAUUGGAAUCCCUAUCUUAUUACCCAUAGUCCAUUUAAUCCUGUAGGAAUCUUUGGGAAGCAAUUGGAUGCACCAAAAUUUCUUAACGAUGUACCAAAUUUCCUUAAGGAUGUACUUAGGGUUCCAAAGUUCGUUUCUGAGUAAGGAAAAUUUCUUACAAUUUUCCAUUGUCAGUUUUAAAUUAUUAUUUUUUUACAAAUCAUCCUUAACAAAUUUUUUUUUUACGACUGUUUUAAAAUUAUAUUUUUUUUUCAUAUUUUCCUUGAAAUUUUGAGAAAAUAAUUUUACCGACAUGCAUUCCCAUAAAAUUUUUAUAUAUUUAUGGUAAAUAAAAUAUUUAUUUGUUUUAUGAAUUUUAUCACAUAUGAAUUAAAGAAAAUUGUUUUUUCAUAUUAUUUUUAAAUUUUAAAGAAUAUUUUUUAUAAAGAAUAUUUCAAAAAUAAUAUUAUGAUAAAGAAUAUUUUUAAAAUAAUAUUAAAAUUACAAUACCAUUGAAACAGGGGGUGGUUUAAAAAUAUUUUUGAAACCACAGUUGCUAAUUGUGGUUUUAAAGAAAAUUGUAAAACCAUAGUAAUAGACUGUAGUUUUAAGGAUAUUUUUGAAAAUUUUGAAACUACAGUCAUCAACGAUGGUUUUUUACACUAAAAAAAAAACUCACGUGGAUGAUUACGUGGAUAGAAAAUACUACUUUGACAAAUAUUUUGAGAUGGGUACUAUUCUUACCAUUUUUUUUCUACAAACAGAUUAUUUUGGACUUAAACUCUCCAAAACAUGCUCCCGCAAAAAGAAAAUCUGAUUUUUUUUUUCUCCUAAAAGAAAGAUACCCAAAAACAUGCUAUUUCCCGCCAGCUACCCAUGAAAGGAUACAUCUCAAAAGAGCCCUCCCAAAAUGGGGGUCUAUAAUAUGUUAUAUCAUUUAAAAUUAAGGAUUAAUUGAUUAAAAAGAUGAAAACAUUCCAAAAUACCCUUCAACAUUUUCAUUAUUUACAUGUGUAUUUUAAAAGAAAUGGUUACUUUUACAAAAUAAAUAAAUAAAUAAAAAAUGAUGAGGGCAUUUUUAUCAAAAAUGAGUAUUUUUUAGAUUGAAAAAAUGUGAAGGGUUAAUUUUCCAAAAUGUCCCUAUCCUUAAAAUUAAUGCUCAUUGGCUUAUAAGGGACCUGACCUCAUCCAUUGAUCUAAGCUUAUUUUUGCCCCGUAUUUAACACCUGGUUUUUAAAAAGGUUAUUGUGGACCCGAUGUUUUCGCUUGAUGCAUUCCCACUCGAUGGUGAAACUCGUUUUUUUUAUUUUUUUUAUUUGUGAAAAUUUGAUUUUUAGAAAAAAAACUUGGAGUCGCCACUUAUUUUUGAAAGGAAAAAGCAAUAAUAAAAAAGAAAAACCCUAAAUGUGACUCUGAAGGAAAAAACAAGUCUACGAAAAACCGAGUCUGGGUUCAGGGGUCAGGUUACUUAUUGGGAAGGUAUAGUGGUGAGUCGUAACACCCCUCUAAGGCCGUAUACGUACGACCUCUACUAAAUGAAUUAAGGGAAUUAUGGCAAUUAACUAAUUAAUUAUGGAUACCAAGAAAAAUAAUCAUACAAAUGAAUCUGUACAAGUCAUGGUGAAAAUCAAUAUACACAAAAAUAAUAAUGAAAUCUAAUUACAAGAAUACACAAAAUAAAUGAUAAGAGAAUUAUGUAAAAUAAUUUAUUGAACUAAAUGAAAAAAAAUGGUAUUAAAAAAAAUGGCUUUCAAGAAAUUUCAAAAGGAUUUUAUUAAAAACAAUUUUGAAUGAGUGAUUUCAAUUUAUUUAUUUGCAAAAUAUUUUCUUCAAGUGAUUUGGUUCAAUUUCAUUUGUAUUUAAUUUUCAAAAAAAGGUUAUUUAUACUUAUUAUAUCAAAUAUAAUUUAUUACAAAAUUUCAAUUUGGCAACAAAAAUUACUUUACAAAAAAAAAAAAAAAAUUUUACAAGUUUGUUUGCAAAAGUAUUUCAAGUUUUUUCAUUUAAGAAGAGUGAUUUAUACAAAUUAUUUAAAAAUGCAUAACUUCAUGUGCAAAAAGAAUUUUAAUUAAAAAGAAAAAAAAUAUUUAAAUAAUCUAUUUCUAAAAAAAAUACUUUUAAUUCCAUUUUAAUUAAGGAAAAAGAAUUCAUUUAAAAAAACAUUUUUUGGACAAUUUUAUUAAAAAUAAAUUUUUGGGGCAACUUUAUUUACAAAAAAAAAUUUGGACAAUUUUUAUUAAAUAAAGAAAUUUUUGGACAAUUUUAUUAAAAACAAAUUUUCAAAUUCUAUAAAAAAAAAUUCUUUUGGAUUUUUAUAAAAGCAUUUUUCUGAAUUUUUAUAAAUAAAAAAAACUUUCUUUUGUUAAAAAAAAAUAUUUUAAAAUUAUUAUUUUAUUAAAAUAUAUUUAUUGAAUUCUUCCUCUCAUUUAAACAAAAUUUCUAGUUUGUUCGAUAUUCAAUUCUGUACACACUCAAUAAAUAUAUACAAGCAAAUAUCUACAAGAACUAAUAAAAAUAAAAUCAAAUAAAAGUGGAAAAUAAAAUAUGUACCCAAAUAAACUUAUAACAAAUUCAAUGUCUUCCUACGACUUUUUUAUUAUCACUUUCUUUCAUGAAAUUUUGUGUUCCACGUGUCAUAAAUUCAUACUCAACUAACAAGAUUGUAGAAUAAGUCAAUGCAAAAACAAAAAUAACUCAUAUGUAAAUAUCCAAAAAUAUGUAGGGUUCAAAUAAUAAUUCAAGCCCAAAUUCAAACUUUAAAUUAGCCCAAUAAAUUUUAACAAUUAAAAAUGUGUCCAAAUUAACAAAUAUAACCCAAUAAAAAUAUCUCACAUAUCAUAAACCCUAACAUAAAGUUUUCAAAUUAAUAGCCAAAACAUAAGCUCAAUUAAUCAAACCCAAUAAAUUAGGAUAAAUCUCAUUAGGCCUAAAUUUAAUAUUUCAUAAUCCAAACCUAAUUUAAUAUACACCACAAUUGUCUCAUGCCCAAAUUAAAUAGUUCAAAUUAGUCAAACUCAUAUAAAAUAUUAAAGUCAUCCAACAAAUCUCACCCACAUUAUGGGUCCAAAAUUCAUAUAAGUUAACAAGCCCACAUCAAUAAUAUACAUGGCCAAAUGAAAUAAUAUUUCAAGCCCAAACAAAUAACCAAUUAACAAUAGGAUCAAGUCCAAAUAAACAAUAUAUAAUUGAUAUAAUCCAAAUAUCUCAAAUUAAUCACCAAAUACAAUAUAACCACAAACCCAAAUUAAAAAAUUUUAAAUUAAUUCACCAAUAAUAAAUUAGCUCAAAUUUCAUAUUAAUUUACCAACAACAAGUUAACCAAAAUUUCAUAUUAAUUCAACAAUCCUAAUUUCACAAACAACAAUUACUAUUAAAAUCAAAUCAAGAAAAAUAAUAAUAAUAAUAAUAAUAAUAAUAAUGGAAAAUGAGUGGGAUGGGACAACAAGGGAAUGAGAGAAAAUGGGAGGGGGUCGCCGGCUGGUAGUGACUCGCCGGUGGCGACUACAAGGGGCUCACCGGCGGUAGUGAGAGAUUGGGUAUGGUGAGAGGGGAGUAGAAAAUAAUAAUAAUAAUAUAAUAAAAUAAAAUAAAAUAAAAAAGAAAUGAAAGAAAAGAAAAUAAGAAGAAAUCAAAAGAAGAGUGUUCGGAUGGAGAGAAAGGGAGGGAAAAUGUGGGAAAGAAAAAAAAAAUGGGGGCUAGUCACCGCAUUUAGGAGUUAGAAGAAAAAAAUGAAAAAAAUGAAGAGGGGAAAUGGGGAGGAUGAUUGAGAAAAAUAUAAUAUAAUAUAAUAAUAAUAAUAAUAACAAAUAAAAAUAAAAUAAUAAAAACUAAGAAUUAAAUGGUGAGUGGACCAAAAAACACAUGUAAUCGGGAUUUAAAAUUUAUUGACAAAAUUGAGCUCAAAAUUAAUGUAAAAAUAAAAUUAGAACAAAUUUUGGGGUCAUAGUUAUAUUUGAUUAAAAUGAUUAUUGAAAACUCAAUUUUAGAAAUUUAACAUUUCAUCAUUUUUUAUUAUCUCAUUUUAACAAAAAUGUUCUUAUUCUUUUCAUGUAAAAAUAACUUUUUAUUUUAAAACCUACAUGUAAACACUUGAAAUGAUAAAAAAACUAUUUACAUCAAAAGCGGGAUACUCUUCAAACAAAAAUACAAGAAGGUUUAAAUUCACAAAUAUGAGGAUUAUUUCACCAUUUUUAACUAAUUAAUUUUUUUUCAAAUUGGCAAAAUGUGAAGCUAGCACGAUUAACAUUAGUAAAGUAUCUAAUUGCUAAAGAGAAUGGUAGGAUUUAUUGACCUAACUCAAUUUAAUAUAUGUUAAAAUGGUGACAUUUUCUAAUUAUAGGCAUAAAAAAAUUAGGAGAAUGACAAAACUUAGUUAUUUUUCUCAAAAAUGACAUUAAAAAAAAAAAAAAAACAAGGUCCUAAUAUAGUCUUAUAAACUACAAAAGAAAGAAAUUUGAACUGUUGUACACCAAGGCCUAGCCUUGCAUGACAAAUAAAUUGGCAACAAAGGAUUAUGGUUUUGGAAAAAAUGAAAAGAAGGAAAGGAUAAAACAUGGAUUAUUUAUUUACUAAAAACCGGAGUCAAGAGGUGGAAGGAAAUCAUGUUUAUGAGAGUUAUCGCCAUGAUUGGACUUGAGCUUCUAGCACAUGAAGUAAAGAGCUGCUAGUGGUACCUAUUAAAUACGAAUAUGAUUGGUACAUUGUCGUUAUGUGGGUUGGUGUUAGAUAAUUUAUUAUUUAUUUAUAUUUAUAUUUAUAUAUAUUUUGGGUUUACUAAGCUUUGGACAGCCGUUGGGUGUUAAUCUCACACUUUUAAUAUUAGUAUGGAAAAUUUGAGCUUUCACACGACAAGGAAAGGUGGCAUUACAGCCAAGCAAUUUAAUUAUUAAUUAGUUACUGGAGUCGGAGCUUCCUAUAACUAAUUUUUAAAAAGAAAAAGUGGGAAAUGGCGCCUCCAACAGUCAAAAAAUGCCGUUUCAACCGGGGCUUAAAAAUGGGCCUCCCUCCGCUGUCAUUUCCACGCAACUCCAUUGCAACGACGGAGUAUUAUUCCAUCCCCAUAGACCACCAUCCAAGUCAACUAAAAGUCUAGAUCAAUUACUUGUUUUAGUCACCAGAAAUUACCAAUAAACCACUCACGGUCUUGUUAUAAACCAAGCUGCAGCGUCACCAGAAACUUCAAAUCACAAGAGAGAAAAUUUGCAUAGAGAGAAUAUGGGAGAAACACUUGAUCGUAUUGGAUUGAGCGGAGAAGUCAUUAAUGCAGCUGCUUCUCUAGCCAUGAAGGCUCACGAUUCCACUCGCGAGCCAUUUCUCCUCAAGAAACCCCGUGGCUUAUCCGUUGCUGUUGUUGCAUUUGCUGGAUCUUGGCUUCCCGAUGAUUGGUGUGCGGAGACACCUUUUGGAGAAACGACGAUAGAUGCUGGUACCUUUCCUUCGCUUAAAAGUUUAGGCGAUGACGGAGUCGCUCUGGUCAACGGGUCGUUUCUCCGGCGAUUCAAGGCAAUCUUAGGCCAAUCAUCACUUGCCGAAAAGGUACUUCAAUUCAACUUAUGCAUAGAUAUAUGAAAAACGAUCUUGUGAAUUUAAAAUGUGGAUGUUGGGGUUGGAUUUUUCAGGUGAAAAAAGUAAUUGGAGAGAAGAAGCGAGUUGUUUUCACCGGCUACUCGUCGGGUGCUCCGGUGGCCAUCCUGGCAACUCUAUGCCUCUUGGAGAAGCCAGAGCCCAAUCAGAGCCCACCCCGCUGCGUCACUUUCGGAUCCCCCCUCGUCGGUGAUCGGAUCUUCGGUCAUGCUGUCAGACGGGAGAAAUGGUCCGACCACUUCGUUCAUUUUGUUAUGAGAUACGAUGUGAUCCCUCGGAUUAUGCUUGCCCCUUCAUCCACUGAGCACAAACAAAUUCUCGAUUUCUUCAAUCCCAGAUCUGAAUUCUUCAGAAAACCCAUUGAUUCUCCUUUAGGUUUCUAUUCCAGCGUGAUGAGGAAUGCAUCCUUGGUUGCAAACUAUGAUGCCUGCAAUCUCAUGGGAUGCAGAAUCCCGGCGUUGGAAACUCUAAGGAACUUCAUUGAGCUCAGCCCUUAUAGACCUUUCGGAACUUACAUCUUCUGCACGGGAAAUGGAAAAUUGGUUGUCGUAAGGAACUCGAAUGCAGUACUGCAGAUGCUGUUUUACUGUGCUCAGUGGACCCAAGAAGAAGCUGCAGGGGUUGCACAAAGAAGCCUAUCUGAACACUUGGCUUACAAAGAUGAAAUACAAGAGAGCUUAGGAAUGCAGAAUGUAGUCUAUCUAGAUCGUCUGGAAGAGAUUCCAGUGUCUUCAGAUGGCAGUCCAGCCACAGUCAACACGGCCUUGAAUGACCUCGGCCUGGUGAGCCUUCUUCCUUUCUUCUUAAUUACCUUACUGCCAAACUACAGAAUUUUAGCUUCCAUGUCUGUAAAUCUCAAUUGAUGUUCUAGUGUUAUGGAUUGCAGAGCCCACAAGGAAGGCUAUGCCUUCAAGCUGCAGGAGAGUUGGAGAAGCGAAAGUCAAGAAAUCAGGAUAAGAUCAUUAAUGAUUAUAAGCAAAAGAUUGAAGGUGAAUUAAGAGAGCUGAGAAAGUACAAGGAAAAGGCUGAGACUUGUGGACUGGGCUACUAUGAUUCCUUUAAGCUCAACAAAUACGAAGAGGACUUUCGGGCUAAUGUGAGCAGGCUUGUGCUAGCUGGUUUCUAGGACGAGAUGAUGGAAAUGUUAAAAGCGUAUGAACUUCCGGAUGACUUUGAGAAGAGCCAUGACUUUAUACGACUUGGAACCGAUUAUCGCCGCACGGUUGAGCCUCUAGAUAUUGCCAACUUCUAUCGACACGCCAAGGAUGAAGAGACAGGAUUCUACGUGAAAAAGGGUACUCGACCAAAACGAUAUCGAUACAUCCAAAAUU